This 74-nucleotide transfer RNA is filed under the name Caldilineaceae bacterium SB0662_bin_25. RNAcentral's name for it is "tRNA-Val". It matches the Rfam family "tRNA". From Rfam's summary of the family: Transfer RNA (tRNA) molecules are approximately 80 nucleotides in length. Their secondary structure includes four short double-helical elements and three loops (D, anti-codon, and T loops). Further hydrogen bonds mediate the characteristic L-shaped molecular structure. tRNAs have two regions of fundamental functional importance: the anti-codon, which is responsible for specific mRNA codon recognition, and the 3' end, to which the tRNAs corresponding amino acid is attached (by aminoacyl-tRNA synthetases). tRNAs cope with the degeneracy of the genetic code in two manners: having more than one tRNA (with a specific anti-codon) for a particular amino acid; and 'wobble' base-pairing, i.e. permitting non-standard base-pairing at the 3rd anti-codon position. Lineage: Bacteria; Bacillati; Chloroflexota; Caldilineae; Caldilineales; Caldilineaceae. RNAcentral also lists the same sequence under 2 other names. The record is from RNAcentral.
GGGCGGGUAGCUCAGUUGGUUAGAGCGCGCGGUUCACAUCCGCGAGGUCGGGGGUUCGAGUCCCUCCUCGCCCA